UGAGGAAUAUUGGUCAAUGGACGCAAGUCUGAACCAGCCAAGUAGCGUGAAGGAUGACCGCCCUAUGGGUUGUAAACUUCUUUUAUAAGGGAAUAAAUUGAGGUACGCGUACCUUUUUGUAUGUACCUUAUGAAUAAGCAUCGGCUAACUCCGUGCCAGCAGCCGCGGUAAUACGGAGGAUGCGAGCGUUAUCCGGAUUUAUUGGGUUUAAAGGGAGCGUAGGCGGGUUUUUAAGUCAGUUGUGAAAGUUUGCGGCUCAACCGUAAAAUUGCAGUUGAUACUGGAAGCCUUGAGUGCGGCAGAGGCAGGCGGAAUUCGUGGUGUAGCGGUGAAAUGCUUAGAUAUCACGAAGAACUCCGAUUGCGAAGGCAGCUUGCUGGAGCGUAACUGACGCUGAUGCUCGAAAGUGCGGGUAUCAAACAGG
This 424-nucleotide ribosomal RNA is filed under the name uncultured Bacteroides sp. RNAcentral describes it as "bacterial SSU rRNA". It matches the Rfam family "Bacterial small subunit ribosomal RNA", at positions 355 to 776 of the family's 1533-position model. Lineage: Bacteria; Pseudomonadati; Bacteroidota; Bacteroidia; Bacteroidales; Bacteroidaceae. The record is from RNAcentral.